This is an RNA transcript of Camelus dromedarius (Arabian camel), 6420 nucleotides long. It is a transcript of the gene named HemK methyltransferase family member 1, with no coding region annotated. The record is from RefSeq and is a predicted model, not a curated record. The transcript has 14 exons. NCBI's taxonomy places the organism in Eukaryota, Metazoa, Chordata, Mammalia, Artiodactyla, Camelidae.
GUCGGAAGGAGCUCACCGCGGCCCACGCACGUCCGGGAAACGAGCCCGCGGCAAUUUCUUUAGUCGAGUGAGGUAACGCUUCAGGGUGACAGCCACACCUGAGGACCAGAGCCAUGUUGAGGAGCCAGAGCCUGUGACUUCUCCAUCUACACCCAGCUGGGGCCAGUCACCAUCCUCAGCAGCUGACAUCACAAGAAAGACUUGGGGACCUUGAGGAGUGCUCAAGGGAUCCUUGGGGCAGAAUGCUGAGGGCCCUCCUGUCUGGCCUAGGGUGGAGGGGAGGCAUUUGGGGCUGCACCUUCACCUCAUGGCGGCCUCAUCUGCCUCUGGCUAGGUUGUUGAAUGUCACAGAGCUGGUCAACCACUGGACAGCAGUCUUUGAGAAAAGGGGUAUCCCUGAGGCCCGGGAAUCCAGUGAGUACAUCGUGGCUCAUGUCCUUGGAGCCAAAACAUUUCAGAGCCUGAGGCCAGAACUUUGGACCCAGCCCCUGACACCUUGGCAGCUACAGUAUAUCCAGGAGCUGAGUAGCUACCGAUUGCAAAGGAUGCCUGUGCAGUACAUCCUUGGUGAGUGGGACUUUCAGGGGCUCAGUCUGAAGAUGGUGCCCCCAGUAUUCAUCCCUCGGUGGGAAACAGAGGAACUGGUUGAAUGGGUGCUGGAAGAGGUGACCCAAAGAUCCCGUGUGGUGAGAGCCCAAGGUGGCCCCCUCAUCCUGGAGGUGGGCUGUGGAUCAGGAGCCAUCUCCCUCAGCCUGCUGAGCAAGCUCCCCCAGAGCCAAGUCAUUGCUGUGGACAAGGGAGAAGCUGCCAUCUGCCUGGCCAAUGAGAAUGCUCACAGGCUUCAGUUGCAGGACAGGAUUCGGAUCAUCCCCCUCGAUGUGACCUUAGAGGACAGCUGGGCACAUCUUCUACCCUGGGGCCCCGUGGACCUGAUCGUCAGCAACCCUCCCUACGUCUUCCACCGGGACAUGGAGCAGCUGGCCCCUGAGAUCCUCAGCUAUGAAGACCCAGUAGCCCUGGAUGGUGGCGAGGAGGGCAUGGACAUCAUUUCCCACAUCCUGGCCCUGGCACCUCGACUCCUGAAGGACUCUGGAAGCAUCUUCUUAGAAGUGGACCCAAGACACCCAGAGCUCGUUGGCAGCUGGCUUCAGAGCCGGCCAGACCUGUUCCUCAAUCUCGUGACUGUGCGCCGGGAUUUCUGUGGGAGGCCCCGGUUCCUGCAUAUCCAGAGGUCUAGGCCACAGCGUGGUUGCCCUGCAGAUGCCUGGCCCGUGCUCCAGCCUGCCAGAGUGGCUGGCUGACACUUCUACCUGGAAUGCUACUUUAAGGGAGGGCCUGACCUGGUGGUGCAGUGGCCAGAGGCAGUGUGGUCCAGUGGGCAGCAUCCUCUGAUGGAGCCAGGAUGCUGGUUUCCAGGGCUGUGUCUUACAGUGGGACCUUGGCAGCUCCCUUCCCUGUGAGAAGUUGGCUCCAAGCCUGGGCCACUCCUCAACCAGUGAUGGCUUCCCUGAUGGUCUAACCCUCCUGGCCUCAGGCUCAUUACUGAGGAAGAACCUUGGCAAGCAUGUACCAGUGACAUUCUACCCCAUGCGUUUGGAACCUUUCUGUGUCUAUCUCAUCUCUGGGGUCCCAUAUGGAUCUAGCAUACUGCAAGCUCAGUGAAUGUCCACCAGUAAGCCUAUAGUAUGUGCAUUUUCUAGAAUGGAGCUGGAAUUUCCCAUGUGGCUCACAUCUGACCUGACAGCAGCUCUCACAUAUUCUGGGCAGCAGAGGGAGGAAGCUCUGAGGGCCUGGCCUCCCACCCAAGCCAGGCAGCUGUUUGGGUUGAGCCAUAGCCACUAGGAGGGCUCAAGUGCACCUAAUCUCUGCACAGUGGCCACGCCAGGAGUACAGGCUGUCCUUGGCGGCAGCAGGGGCGGGCACCAGGUUUCCUGGAGCUCUGGGCCCCAGCCAGAGUGUUGGCCAGAACAGCAGUCUGAUCCCCGCCUCAUGACCCCUCGGUUCUGGGACAGGCCGUCUGGGCAGGGAUUGAGACCGUCAAAGCAACCCUCCCCCUCCUGUGGUCAGCAGGAUGAUGGCCCCAAAGAUACCCACAUCUUAAUCCCCCAAACCUUUGAGUGUGUUACCUUACGUGGCAAAAGGAACUUUGCAGAUUUGAUUAAGUUAAGGAUCUUGAGAUGGAAUGAUUAUCCUGGAUUAUUCAGGUGGACUCAGUGUAAUCACAGGUGAAAAGGCGAGGAAAUGGAUUCUCCCCAAGAGCCUCAAGAAAGAAUGCCAUCUUUCCAACACCUUGAUUUUAACCUGGUAAAACUGAUUUUGGAUUUCUGACUUCCAGAACUGUAAGAUGAUAUAUUUGUGUUGUUUUAAAACACUGAAUUUGUGGUUGUUAUAGCAGCAAUUAGAAACUAAUACAGAUUUUGGUACCCAAAAUGAAGUGCUGCUCUAACAAGUACCUAAAAAUGGAAGUAGCUUUGCAAUUGAAAUUUAGAAAUGGGAAAAGACUGAAAAUUUUUGAGGUGCAUGAUAGAUUGCCUUGAAUGCUUUUCCUCUGAGCAGUGAGGUGGCCGGGGUGGGGGUUGUGAACCCUCUACAAUCUGGAGACCUGAGCUGCCCAGGCCCACUGUCCACCUGUCUAAGAAAGGGGCCCAGCGUGGGCCCCAGAGAGUCUGGUCCGGGCACUGGGAGUGGGUGGAGAAUGGGACUGAGACUGGGGAAGAGAGAGCAAAGCUGGCCUCCGUGGCCCAUAUCCAUUGGCAUGAGGACCACCUAUGCUCUCAGAGAUGAUCUCAGAGACUGGAUCUGAGCCUGUUCCUGGCUUCCAUGGAGUCAUGUGGUUGGCCCAGCAUGCCUUGAGUUUGUAAGGAUGAGCAGAGGGUGAGUAGGUACCAUGUCUGUGAAAUGAGUGCAGUAGCCCCUGACUCUAGGGGCAGAAAAGCAGCUCUGGCCAACACUCACCCCUCCAUGUAAGCCUUGGAGAUUCGGCUCCUUCCAGUCACCAGGCAGUGCCCAGCUCCUGCUAUAGGUGUGGGCUGGGCUGUGUGGCUGGAAUAGAAUUUAGUCAUUCCUGGGAUUCUCAGCCUCAUGGUCCCCAAAGCUGAAGUGGCUAAUUGGAACCCUCGACUCUGCCUGUCCACGCCUGGACCAGGACCUCACUCCAGAUGAGGGACACUCAGUGGCUCUGGAGGCACCAUCCCACCUGGCCAAGGUCUGGGGCUCCUGAAGCCACAGCCCCAACUCAGGAGCCACAUGGAGAGCUACUGGGGGGCCAGACAUGGGCUGACGUGCCUCAUGCUGGGUCUGAGACUGAGAAUCUGGGCGAUGGACAGUCUGGACACCUGAGUUCAAGGGUCAGCUUAAGUCCCCUGAUAUGCUUUGGAUGAAGCCAAGAAGGCCUGUUUGUAUUGGCAGGGGUAAAUUGUAGCAAGACACAUGUCCAAUCCCUGAUUCCCUCUCUCUUAAACAGAGAAGGAAGGGGCUUACUCAAGAUCAUAUAGCGCUUGCCUCCUGACUCCUGAUGCAGUGCCCUCAGCCCCCAUUGCUUCCAAGGGCCCUUGGUCAUUUAAUUGGAUGGCUUGUGCGGCUGUUUUAUAUGGCUCUUCAUGUAGCUCUGGGAUGCACAAAUUGUGGCUCAUAAAGUCCUCAGGGCCAAACGGCUGAUGUCAGCUCCAUUAGCCCAACUGCACCAAUGGGUGUGUGGACAGAUCUGGGUCCCAUCUGAAGCCUUGGUGGUAGUUGUGAGGAGAGUGGGAUUUCCCCCAAGUAAGCGGCUCCUGCUCUGAGGGAACUGGUGAUGCACCGCUGAAAGGACCUUUAGGCACCUUUGGCCUUGUAAUCAGGAAUCAGAUGUGUAGGAGCUUCAAAUUCUGGGACCACUCCACUUCCGAGACACACUCCCCUCAACCAUCCUAUAGGAAAAUGGUCAAGAAAGGCCAGUUUGACAGUUCACAUAGUAGGAGAGGCAAAGGGAGCUUACCUCAGCCUUGCUGGGAGCCCUAGACUGAGCUGGCCUCCACUUGGCCCCAGCCAUGGCUGAGGAUUCAAGGUGAGGUGGCUCAGACCAGCUCUGCCCCAGGGAAGGCAGGCCUGGCCUGGUGGCCCCUUUCCAGAGGCUGGGGUCUCUCCCAGAGACUCUGCCUCUCAGGGCUGGGGAUGCCACCAUAUUGCCCCUUGUACUGAAUCUGUAGCCCUCUCCUGGGACAUGAGUUUGGGGGAGUGGAAAGAUCAGAUCUCCCACCUUGCUGAGCCCAGGGAGCGGAUUGUUGGGGCUUGAGGCACCCACAAAGAUCCCUGUGUGUAGAUGAGAAUAUAAAGGCUCAGCAGGCCUGGGCUGGGGCUUGAACCCAAGUCUCUUCUUUGGCUCCCAGCCUCCAGCCUUUCAUCAGCUGCAGACCCCGACCCUGCCUUGCUUUCCAAGAGUGGUCCUGCCUGCCAGGAGAGGCAGCCAAGGCCCUUUGCCAUUCCUGGAAGUCAGUGUGAGGCCAAGCUGUGUGGGCAAGCAGAGUGAACCCCAAGCUAGAGCUGCCUGGGCCUUGCUUGCCCUUGGACCUUGCAGCUGAGCGAAGUAUCCAACCAGCGCUCCCUGGGCCUUCCUCCUCCAUCUCCUUGCCGUCAUUUCUUGAGCUCCUGCUGGGCAAUGGGCCCCAAGCAGCUGCUUUGCAUUUAUUAGUUUUAAUCAUGCUACCUCACACACUGGGUUUUUAAUCAUCUUCAUGAUGAGGAAACCAAGGCUCAGCAGGGUGCAGGUCACACAGCUGUACUGGAAGGGAGGCUGAGGCUGCUUUUGCUGCCCAUUUGACUGUCAGAGACACUGAGGUCAGCAUAGCUGGAUCCUGGGCUGCUCCCUUCAGGGCUCAAUGCAGUGGUCCUCCUGGGCUUAUGGAUCCUCGGAGCAGGAGCAGGGCUUGCCAGGGCUGAUCCCAGAGGGCUUUCUGGAAGCCCAGUGUUUACGCCUAUGGGCUCUUCUCCUGAGCUGUGUGCAACAUAGGCCCAGACCUCGGUCUUCCAAUCCCUACUGUGUGCCAGGCUCUGGGGAGAUGACAUCAAUCAGAAGAGCCUAUAAAAUAUGGAGAUUGAAUGGUGCACCCUGAACCAAGUGCUUCUGGGAUUAUCUCAUUCGCCCUCAAGAUAUCCCAUAAGGCAGAGUCUGUGAACCAUCCCAUCUUACAGACAAGGAAACGAACUGAAAAAGGUUAAGGAGCUUGCUCAUAUGCUGGCUGAACUGGGAUUCUGGCACAAGCAGAAUGACCCAGGACCUGGGCCUUUGCCAUCACACCAGGCUUGAAGAGGAUGAGGCACAGGACAGGGAUAGAGCAGGCAGAGAGGGCAGUCUAGGCAGAAGCCUGGAGGCCUGAAAUCAUGUGAACAGGGAUGUAUAGGGGCAAGGCAGUGAUGGUGGUGAAUGCCCUUGGAUGAGUUCUGAAUGCAUUUCUGGAUACCAGGGGCCUAAUUUAAGUUUCAGGGUAUCUGAAGAUCCAGAUGUUAACAUUUGGGGAUGUAGCCUGGAGGCAGCACUUUAGAUGGAGUUGAGAAGACCACCCUUCCAGGCCUGAGGGCUGUCAACCACAGUGACCAGGCAUCUCCAUGUGUAAUGGUGCCAUGUGCCACACAUACUUUGUCAUCAAUCCUGUCUGCAUGUCUUGGGCGCCUUCCUAGGCCCACUAGACAGAUGAAAAGACUGAGGCUUAGCCUGCCCAACAUCACACAAGCAGGAAGUGGCUGUGGUAGCAUUUGAGCCCAGUCCUCUGACAUCCCAGCUGGAAGGAGAGUGAGCAGGCCAACUGAGGCCAACUGCAGCUCAGGGCUCCAAUUCCCCGAGGGGCCCCAGUGCCAAGCUGGGGUGGCCCCAGGGCUGACGUGGGCUUCCAGGGCAAAGAGGAAAGUGGUGAGUCAAACAAAAAGCACCAGAUGUGGAGUGAGCUUUCCCCCCUCCCAGCUGCCCGGGUGCCAGACUUUCACACCCCACAGAAGAGGGGCCCACUGGGGAGGGGAGGGCAGUGAAAGUGGCUGCUACUGGAAGGAGGUUCCGAUGUACUCCGGAUGUGGGGUGGGACUGGCUGACUCCCAGACUCUGGUUCCCAGCUGACAGGUGAGUGAGGAAAGUGAGUCCGGUCUCUACAUAAGCGGGUAUAAAGCCUGCCGUAUCAUGGGAAGCACAGGUCCUCAGGUCUGGGUGGUUCCGGGAGGAGUGUGUGGAUGUGCCUAAAACCCUUCUUGAAGGCAUUCCACAGCUCAAGAACUGUCCAGAGCUCCCCACUGCCUGCCUGCAUGGAAACCCUGCCUCUUGCUCAUUCUGCCCAGCCCUCUUGCCCAGAUCCCUAGAGCUGUGGAGUUUGUUCUGUUAAACUAAAUUUCACAUGGAACUCAAAUAAUAUAUUUUUUUAAAGAUAAAGACAGCAUCUUAAACAUAAAUAUAUUUUAUAA